This 508-nucleotide ribosomal RNA is filed under the name uncultured bacterium. Its description in RNAcentral is "bacterial SSU rRNA". It matches the Rfam family "Bacterial small subunit ribosomal RNA", at positions 899 to 1397 of the family's 1533-position model. The record is from RNAcentral.
ACUCAAAUGAAUUGACGGGGACCCGCACAAGCGGUGGAACAUGUGGUUUAAUUCGAAGCAACGCGAAGAACCUUACCAGGGCUUGACAUCUAACAAACCUCUGUGAAAGCAGAGGGUGCUCUUCGGAGAAUGUUAAGACAGGUGGUGCACGGUUGUCGUCAGCUCGUGUCGUGAGAUGUUGGGUUAAGUCCCGCAACGAGCGCAACCCUCGUCGUUAGUUGCACAUAUCGGUAUACUGAUAUGGUGCUCUCUAGCGAGACUGCCGGUGAUAAACCGGAGGAAGGUGGGGACGACGUCAAAUCAUCAUGCCCCUUAUGCUCUGGGCUACACACGUGUUACAAUGGCCGGUACAACGAGUCGCCAACUCGCGAGAGUGAGCAAAUCUCUUAAAACCGGUCUCAGUUCGGAUUGGACUCUGCAACUCGAGUCCAUGAAGUCGGAAUCGCUAGUAAACGCAGAUCAGCACGCUGCGUUGAAUACGUUCCCGGGUCUUGUACACACCGCCCGU